RNAcentral lists this ribosomal RNA (516 nucleotides) under Triticum aestivum (bread wheat). Its description in RNAcentral is "partial small subunit ribosomal RNA". Lineage: Eukaryota; Viridiplantae; Streptophyta; Magnoliopsida; Poales; Poaceae. The record is from RNAcentral.
AUGGAGAGAUCUUUUUGGGUCCUGAUCCGAGGGAGGGGGGGAUGUCGGACGAGGAACAUCAGUUCGAGUCGAGGGCCGACGCGGGUGCGUCGAAGACCUACACGCAGCAGGCCGGCACCAUCCGGAGGACACGGGUACAUCGUCAUCGAGAACCGCCCCUGCAAGGUUGUUAAGGUUUCAACAUCUGAAACUGGAGAUUAUGGCAGCUGCCACUUUGUUGCCAUUGACAUCUUCACCAGCGAGAAAUUUGAAUAUAGUGUGUCGUCUUCUGACAACUGUUAUGUUCCUCAUGUGAAUCGCACUGAUUACCAGCUCAUUGAUAUAACUGAUGAUGGAUAUGUGAGUCUGCUGACUGAGAAUGGUGGCACCAAAGAUGACCUCAAGCUCCCAACUGAUGAUGCCCUUCUUUGCCAGAUCAAGGAUGGCUUUGCCGAAGGGAAGGACCUAGUGGUGUCAGUCAUGUCCGCCAUGGGAGAAGAGCAGAUUUGUGCUCUCAAGGACAUCGGCCCGAAGUAA